GAUGAACGCUGGCGGCGUGCCUAAUACAUGCAAGUCGAGCGAACGGACGAGAAGCUUGCUUCUCUGAUGUUUGCGGCGGACGGGUGAGUAACACGUGGAUAACCUACCUAUAAGACUGGGAUAACUUCGGGAAACCGGAGCUAAUACCGGAUGAUAUUUUGAACCGCAUGGUUCAAAAGUGAAAGACGGUCUUGCUGUCACUUAUAGAUGGAUCCGCGCUGCAUUAGCUAGUUGGUAAGGUAACGGCUUACCAAGGCAACGAUGCAUAGCCGACCUGAGAGGGUGAUCGGCCACACUGGAACUGAGGCACGGUCCAGACUCCUACGGGAGGCAGCAGUAGGGAAUCUUCCGCAAUGGGCGAAAGCCUGACGGGGCAACGCCGCGUGAGUGAUGAAGGUCUUCGGAUCGUAAAACUCUGUUAUUAGGGAAGAACAUAUGUGUAAGUAACUGUGCACAUCUUGACGGUACCUAAUCAGAAAGCCACGGCUAACUACGUG
Molecule: ribosomal RNA, 497 nt
Filed under: uncultured bacterium
Lineage: Bacteria
Description: partial 16S ribosomal RNA
Rfam family: Bacterial small subunit ribosomal RNA
Source: RNAcentral